RNAcentral lists this ribosomal RNA (628 nucleotides) under uncultured bacterium. Its description in RNAcentral is "bacterial SSU rRNA". The stretch from base 1 to 544 matches the Rfam family "Bacterial small subunit ribosomal RNA", at positions 338 to 873 of the family's 1533-position model. The record is from RNAcentral.
CCUACGGGAGGCAGCAGUGGGGAAUAUUGGACAAUGGGCGCAAGCCUGAUCCAGCCAUACCGCGUGGGUGAAGAAGGCCUUCGGGUUGUAAAGCCCUUUUGUUGGGAAAGAAAUCCAGCCGGCUAAUACCUGGUUGGGAUGACGGUACCCAAAGAAUAAGCACCGGCUAACUUCGUGCCAGCAGCCGCGGUAAUACGAAGGGUGCAAGCGUUACUCGGAAUUACUGGGCGUAAAGCGUGCGUAGGUGGUUAUUUAAGUCCGUUGUGAAAGCCCUGGGCUCAACCUGGGAACUGCAGUGGAUACUGGAUGACUAGAAUGUGGUAGAGGGUAGCGGAAUUCCUGGUGUAGCAGUGAAAUGCGUAGAGAUCAGGAGGAACAUCCAUGGCGAAGGCAGCUACCUGGACCAACAUUGACACUGAGGCACGAAAGCGUGGGGAGCAAACAGGAUUAGAUACCCUGGUAGUCCACGCCCUAAACGAUGCGAACUGAUGUUGGGUNNAUUAGUCGCGCAGUAUCGAGACGUACGACGUACGUUACGUCCGCCGUGGAGGUACGGUCGCGAGACGAGAACGACGAACGAAAGUUAGACGGCGUGAGACGUGCCGACGGACGACGACGAGGGAGGAGG